Molecule: ribosomal RNA, 324 nt
Filed under: uncultured eukaryote
Lineage: Eukaryota
Description: partial 18S ribosomal RNA
Rfam family: Eukaryotic small subunit ribosomal RNA
Source: RNAcentral
CCCUUAGAUGUUCUGGGCUGCACGCGCGCUACACUGAUGCAUCCAACAAGUUUUUUCCUUGUUCGAGAGGACUAGGUAAUCUUUUGAGAAUGCAUCGUGAUGGGGAUAGAUUAUUGCAAUUAUUAAUCUUCAGCGAGGAAUUCCUAGUAAACGCGAGUCAUCAGCUCGCAUUGAUUACGUCCCUGCCCUUUGUACACACCGCCCGUCGCACCUACCGAUUGAAUGUUUCGGUGAAGAUUCCGGAUAGGACUGAUUUGAUUUAUUUCAUUUCUGACCUAAAAGCUAUCUGAACCUCAACAUUUAGAGGAAGGUGAAGUCGUAACA